UAUACGUAAAUUAUCUUGAUGUACGAACUGAAUAUGAGUCGUGGAAUUCCAAGUGAUUUACUUAAAAACAAUAGCUACGUUAAAUUUUAAAUGAUAUGGAAUAGUUUGAAAUUUUUUUUGUACACUUUAUUUUUUCACAACUUUUAGUAAUACUUUUAUAUUGCUACAGCAAUGGUGUAUAAUAAAUUUGAAAUAAUUAUUUAGGUAACAUUUGGAAAUGAUAGUUAAGUUGAAAUAAAAAAAAUUGUUUUUAUUCAAUAUUAUCGAUGUUCGAAAUCACAGAUUUGCAAAAAAUUGGAGUCGGACUAGCCGGCUUUGGGAUUACAUUCUUAUUUUUGGGUAUGUUAUUACUUUUUGACAAAGGAUUGCUAGCUAUUGGUAAUAUACUAUUCAUUGUUGGAUUAAGCUGUGUAAUAGGAGUUACAAGGACUCUAAAAUUUUUUUUUCAACGUCAUAAGAUAAAGGCCUCGGUUUCAUUUUUUGGUGGUAUCUUAGUUGUUUUAUUUGGAUGGCCAUUAGUGGGAAUGUUAUUAGAAAUCUAUGGAUUUAUUCUUUUAUUCAGUGGUUUCUUUCCAGUAGUAAUAAAUUUUAUGCGUAGAGUUCCUGUUUUGGGCACACUUUUAAAUCUGCCAAUUUUAAGUGGAGUAUGUAAAUAUAUUAGAUAGGAUUGCAGGUGAUACUAGUCGAACUAUGGUAUGAACUAAAAUGAAACAAUAUUGGGUUUUCAAUGAUUGUGAAUAAUAAUAAGAACUUAAUACUACUAACUGGACAUUCCCUGGGAUCUUUUCCUGUUAUCUAUUAUUUAAAUUUAUUAUACAUUUAUAAAUUACAUAAAAUUGUCUAAUUAAUUUUUAAAAAUAGCAAACUUUGUAUGUUUGUAAGAUAAAAAUUUAAUUUUAUAAAGCUAUUUAAAAUAUUAAAUUUAUAUUAAAAAACUGAUGAAACAAUACUUACAAGUAUUUUAAAUGUUACAAUUUUUAGAAUAUUUUUGUUCUAAAUAUAUUUCUUGAUUUUAAUUAUAAAAAAAAAUAAAUCAGUAGACAAUGUAUGCUACCUCCAUAGAUCCAUAUCACAAGUUCAUUAAAACAAAUAAACAAAAGACUUCUAAAAUUGGAUUUUGUUGUAUGGAGUUCAGCUAAGAAAAAAAAUUUGUAGUAGAGAAUAAAAGUUUAAAAGUACAGAUAUAUUAUAUUAUAUAAGUGUAUUAUAUUAUGCUUAUGUUUGAAAGUGACUAAAAAAUAAAAAAUCUUUUUUAAAUUA
Daktulosphaira vitifoliae (grape phylloxera) is the source of this 1260-nucleotide RNA transcript. It is a transcript of the gene named vesicle transport protein GOT1B, with no coding region annotated. The record is from RefSeq and is a predicted model, not a curated record. The transcript has 6 exons. Lineage: Eukaryota; Metazoa; Arthropoda; Insecta; Hemiptera; Phylloxeridae.